CACGAGCGGCGAACGGGUGAGUAACACGUGGGUGAUCUGCCUCGCACUUCGGGAUAAGCCUGGGAAACUGGGUCUAAUACCGGAUAUGACCUUCCAGUGCAUGCUGGUCGGUGGAAAGAUUUAUCGGUGCGAGAUGGGCCCGCGGCCUAUCAGCUUGUUGGYGGGGUAACGGCCCACCAAGGCGACGACGGGUAGCCGACCUGAGAGGGUGACCGGCCACACUGGGACUGAGACACGGCCCAGACUCCUACGGGAGGCAGCAGUGGGGAAUAUUGCACAAUGGGCGAAAGCCUGAUGCAGCGACGCCGCGUGAGGGAUGACGGCCUUCGGGUUGUAAACCUCUUUCGACAGGGACGAAGCGAGAGUGACGGUACCUGUAGAAGAAGCACCGGCCAACUACGUGCCAGCAGCCGCGGUAAUACGUAGGGUGCGAGCGUUGUCCGGAAUUACUGGGCGUAAAGAGCUUGUAGGCGGUCUGUCGCGUCUUCUGUGAAAACUUGGGGCUCAACCUUAAGCUUGCAGGCGAUACGGGCAGACUAGAGUACUUCAGGGGAGACUGGAAUUCCUGGUGUAGCGGUGAAAUGCGCAGAUAUCAGGAGGAACACCGGUGGCGAAAGGCGGGUCUCUGGGAAGUAACUGACGCUGAGAAGC
This 651-nucleotide ribosomal RNA is filed under the name Nocardia sp. AL0720. Its description in RNAcentral is "bacterial SSU rRNA". It matches the Rfam family "Bacterial small subunit ribosomal RNA", at positions 90 to 754 of the family's 1533-position model. The record is from RNAcentral. Lineage: Bacteria; Bacillati; Actinomycetota; Actinomycetes; Mycobacteriales; Nocardiaceae.